Molecule: ribosomal RNA, 460 nt
Filed under: uncultured bacterium
Lineage: Bacteria
Description: partial 16S ribosomal RNA
Rfam family: Bacterial small subunit ribosomal RNA
Source: RNAcentral
CCUACGGGAGGCAGCAGUGAGGAAUAUUGGUCAAUGGGCUUACGCCUGAACCAGCCAAGCCGCGUGAGGGAAGACUGCUCUAUGGGUUGUAAACCUCUUUUGCCAGGGAGCAACGCCGGCUACGUGUAGCCGGACUGAGAGCACCUGAAGAAAAAGCAUCGGCUAACUCCGUGCCAGCAGCCGCGGUAAUACGGGGGAUGCGAGGGUUAUCCGGAUUUAUUGGGUUUAAGGGGUGCGUAGGCGGAAUGCCAAGUCAGCGGUAAAAUCGCGGGGCUCAACCUCGCUCCGCCGUUGAAACUGGCGGUCUUGAGUGGGCGAGAGGUAUGCGGAAUGCGUGGUGUAGCGGUGAAAUGCAUAGAUAUCACGCAGAACUCCGAUUGCGAAGGCAGCAUACCGGCGCCCAACUGACGCUGAGGCACGAAAGCGUGGGUAUCGAACAGGAUUAGAUACCCGUGUAGUC